RNAcentral lists this ribosomal RNA (253 nucleotides) under uncultured bacterium. RNAcentral describes it as "partial 16S ribosomal RNA". It matches the Rfam family "Bacterial small subunit ribosomal RNA", at positions 524 to 776 of the family's 1533-position model. The record is from RNAcentral.
UACGAAGGGGGCUAGCGUUGUUCGGAAUUACUGGGCGUAAAGGGCUUGUAGGUGGCCAACUAAGUCAGACGUGAAAUCCCUCAGCUUAACUGGGGAACUGCGUCUGAUACUGGAUGGCUUGAGUUUGGGAGAGGGAUGCGGAAUUCCAGGUGUAGCGGUGAAAUGCGUAGAUAUCUGGAGGAACACCGGUGGCGAAGGCGGCAUCCUGGACCAACACUGACACUGAGGAGCGAAAGCCAGGGGAGCAAACGGG